GGCUUAGUUGAGUUGAAUUGAGUUAUUAAAAAUAAUAUUUAUUUUCUGAGGACUAAUUUGAACUUAAACAGAAAUUUUAUGUUUAUUUGAACUUCAAUAGAAAGUUAAAGGGCUUAUUUGGAUUUUUUUCAACUAUUAUACAAACCAACAUCAACAUCAUUAUAUAUAUAUAUAUGAUUAUUACUAGUUAGUAACACAUAACAAUAUUUUAUAAGGUAAAAGUUUAAUAUAUCUCUAUUUUUCUAAAAGGUAACUUGAACUAAAUUGAAAUGGAAAAAUCGAAAUAUAUAUUUUUUUAUAAUAUAAAUGAAUUGAAUUUAAAAUCCUAAUCAAAUCGAAUCGAUCCAAAGUAUAUUAGUUUAGUUCAAUUUGGUCCAUCAAUUCCAAUUUUAGCUACCAAACUACUAAUAAAACUUAGCAAAAUCCAAACAAAACAAAUUCAUCCCAAAGCAAAAUCUUUAACAAUAACCAAUUAUCAUAAAAAAAUCAACCAACAGUCAACAAAAACUCAUCCAAACAAAACUUAGUUGUUAAAUCAAAAUCUUCAACAAUUAACCAAGACAUUUCAACACUCAAAAUCUGAAAUUUAUCCUUACCAAGUAGAAAAGCAACAAUAUAUUA
This 621-nucleotide unclassified non-coding RNA is filed under the name Hevea brasiliensis (rubber tree). Lineage: Eukaryota; Viridiplantae; Streptophyta; Magnoliopsida; Malpighiales; Euphorbiaceae. The record is from RNAcentral.